CAAUAGCGUAUAUUAAAGUUGUUGCAGUUAAAAAGCUCGUAGUUGGAUUUCUGAUCGAGACAUCAGGUCGGGUCCGAGAGGAUCAUGUACUUUGAUUUUGUUUUGAUCAUCCUUGGGGAGAGCAUUUCUGGCAUUCAGUUGUCGGGAUUGGGAUCCUCAUCGUUUACUGUGAAAAAAUUAGAGUGUUCAAAGCAGGCCUCGGCCUCUGAAUACAUUAGCAUGGAAUAAUAAGAUAGGACUUUGGUGGUCUAUUUUGUUGGUUUGCACGCCAAAGUAAUGAUUAAUAGGGAUAGUUGGGGGUAUUCGUAUUCAAUUGUCAGAGGUGAAAUUCUUGGAUUUAUGGAAGACGAACUACUGCGAAAGCAUUUACCAAGGAUGUCUUCAUUAA
This 388-nucleotide ribosomal RNA is filed under the name uncultured eukaryote. Its description in RNAcentral is "partial 18S ribosomal RNA". It matches the Rfam family "Eukaryotic small subunit ribosomal RNA", at positions 592 to 976 of the family's 1831-position model. The record is from RNAcentral.